This 372-nucleotide ribosomal RNA is filed under the name uncultured bacterium. RNAcentral describes it as "bacterial SSU rRNA". It matches the Rfam family "Bacterial small subunit ribosomal RNA", at positions 523 to 897 of the family's 1533-position model. The record is from RNAcentral.
AUACGGAGGAUCCAAGCGUUAUCCGGAUUUAUUGGGUUUAAAGGGUGCGCAGGCGGAUCUUUAAGUCAGGUGUGAAAAUUUACAGCUCAACUGGAAUAGUGCAUUUGAUACUGGAGGACUUGAGUGCAUUUGAUGUGGCUGGAAUGCGUUGUGUAGCGGUGAAAUGCUUAGAUAUGUCGAAGAACUCCAAUUGUGAAGGCAGGUCACAAGAUUAUUACUGACGCUGAUGCACGAAAGCGUGGGUAUCAAACAGGAUUAGAUACCCUGGUAGUCCACACAGUAAACGAUGAAUACUCGUUGUUUGGGAGAUAUAGUAAGCGGCUAAGCGAAAGCGUUAAGUAUUCCACCUGGGGAGUACGACCGCAAGGGUGA